Molecule: ribosomal RNA, 254 nt
Filed under: uncultured bacterium
Lineage: Bacteria
Description: partial 16S ribosomal RNA
Rfam family: Bacterial small subunit ribosomal RNA
Source: RNAcentral
UACGUAGGGGGCGAGCGUUGUCCGGAUUCAUUGGGCGUAAAGCGCUUUAAGGCGGUUCGGUAAGUCGGGUGUGAAACCUCCAGGCUCAACCUGGAGACGCCACUCGAUACUGCUGUGACUAGAGUUCGGUAGGGGAUCACGGAAUUCCUGGUGUAGCGGUGAAAUGCGCAGAUAUCAGGAGGAACACCGGUGGCGAAGGCGGUGAUCUGGGCCGAUACUGACGCUGAGGAGCGAAAGCGUGGGGAGCGAACAGG